AAAGGUUGGAAAUAUGCCUAGGGUGUCGAUCCAGUAUGCGAGUUCCCCUUUGUUUACUCU
RNAcentral lists this small RNA (60 nucleotides) under Arabidopsis thaliana (thale cress). Its description in RNAcentral is "ATSL264950". Lineage: Eukaryota; Viridiplantae; Streptophyta; Magnoliopsida; Brassicales; Brassicaceae. The record is from RNAcentral.